RNAcentral lists this small RNA (1382 nucleotides) under Pongo abelii (Sumatran orangutan). Its description in RNAcentral is "retained intron". Lineage: Eukaryota; Metazoa; Chordata; Mammalia; Primates; Hominidae. The record is from RNAcentral.
CGUCGGCGACGCGGCCGCCCCGGGAGAAGGCGGCGGUGGCGGCGUGGACGGCCCGCAGCGGGACGGCCGCGGCGAGGCGGAGCAGCCGGGCGGCAGCGGCGGACAGGGGCCCCCGCCGGCGCCUCAGCUCACAGAGACGCUGGGCUUCUACGAGAGCGACCGGCGGCGGGAGAGGCGCCGGGGCCGCACAGGGACAGGCGUUUGCUUCAGCCUGCCCAGGUGUGUGACAUUUUGAAGGGUGUCAUUUUGGUAAUCUGCUAUUUUAUGAUGCACUAUGUUGACUACUCCAUGAUGUACCACCUGAUAAGGGGGCAGUCCGUCAUCAAGCUCUACAUCAUCUACAACAUGCUGGAGGUAAGGGCCUUGCUUACCACGCACAGGCCUGGCCAGGGCACUCAGCUUCAAGUCUUCCCGUUCUGAAGGUACCUGAGAGUCAAGAGUGUUCUACCAACUCUAGUUAUGGUGCUUCUGGCCUUUCCUGUGCUAUCAUCACUUGGGGGCUCUUCUUAAACAUGGAUUCUGAUUUAGGAGAUCUAGGCUGGGUCUGGAGAAUCUGCAUUUCUAAGGUGGUGGGGCUCAUGCUGCUGGUCUGGGACACACCUCUGGUGGCAAGCCUGCAGGCAUGGCAUGUCCUCAUGUAGACUGGGAAUAUUCUUGCUGCCCAGACAUUUUAGAACCAGUACCCCCUUGAGUAUCCAGAUUGUCAAGUGCUAGGGAAAUUAGUUUCACAACUUCAUUAGAAACCCAUGCUAGAACUUUAAAUUAUGAAGUAAAUGUUAUGAUUAUGUAUAUGUUUGCUAUAAGAAAUACACAUUUUAAAUUGCACAUUUAAAUUCAGAUCUUUACAUAGGGCAAAUAAAUAUAAGCUCCCAAUUUUUGUAAGUAAUGUUUUUAGUACAAUAUGUCUCACUUCAAAGCGUUCAGCAUAUGAAAAUCUGCAUUUAUAUGAAAAAUAAGUUGAGCUGAUAUACAUUCACUUUACAAAAAAAUGCUUCGCUUUAUAAGCCAGAUAUUCACAAGUUUUUUAAAUAGUAAGCUACCCUAAGUUAUAUAAUAAACUUUGAAAUUCAAAUUGCAGGCCGGCAUGGUGGCUCACACCUGUAAUCCCAGCACUUGGGGAGGCUGAGGCGGGCAGAUCACCUGAGGUCAGCAGUCCAAGACCAGACUGGCCAACAUGGUGAAACCCCGUCUCUACUAAAAAUACAAAAAUUAGCCGUGCCUGGUGGCACGUGCCUGUAAUCCCAGCUACUCGGGAGGCUGAGGCAGGAGAAUCGCAUGAACCCUGGAGGUGGAGGUUGUAGUGAGCUGAAAUCGUCCCACUGCACCCCAGCCUGGGUAACAGAGCGAGACUCCAUCUCGAAAAAAAAAAAAAAAAGAAAGAA